Molecule: unclassified non-coding RNA, 329 nt
Filed under: soil metagenome
Description: partial contains 5.8S ribosomal RNA, internal transcribed spacer 2, and large subunit ribosomal RNA
Rfam family: 5.8S ribosomal RNA (bases 1-120)
Source: RNAcentral
GAUGAAGAACGCAGCGAAAUGCGAUAAGUAGUGUGAAUUGCAGAAUUCAGUGAAUCAUCGAAUCUUUGAACGCACAUUGCGCCCCUUGGUAUUCCAUGGGGCAUGCCUGUUCGAGCGUCAUUUCACCACUCAAGCCUGGCUUGGUGUUGGGCGACGUCCUCUUUGGGGACGCGCCUCGAAACGCUCGGCGGCGUGGCACCGGCUUUAAGCGUAGCAGAAUCUUUCGCUUUGGAAGUCGGGGCCCCGUCUGCCGGAAGACCUGCUCGCAAGGUUGACCUCGGAUCAGGCAGGGAUACCCGCUGAACUUAAGCAUAUCAAUAAGCGGAGGA